UCUAAUUAACUAAUCAAUUAAACAAAUAAUCAAAUAAUUAAUCAAGAAAAAUUAUAUUAAAUAAUAAAAGAAAUAAAACAACAAUUAACAUGUUUAAUAAAGAGGGAUGUGAACAAACAUAAGGACCUAAGGCCUAAACCACCAUUCAUAGCCUCAUUUAAACCCAACUAUUCAAAAUAAAAGAUAUAAUACUAAAUAAAAAUAAAAAC
RNAcentral lists this long non-coding RNA (209 nucleotides) under Lathyrus oleraceus (garden pea). RNAcentral describes it as "Pisum sativum (pea) long non-coding RNA (PSAT_LNC015721)". Lineage: Eukaryota; Viridiplantae; Streptophyta; Magnoliopsida; Fabales; Fabaceae. The record is from RNAcentral.